AACGAACGCUGGCGGCAUGCCUAACACAUGCAAGUCGAACGAGACCUUCGGGUCUAGUGGCGCACGGGUGCGUAACGCGUGGGAACCUGCCCUUAGGUUCGGAAUAACUCCCCGAAAGGGGUGCUAAUACCGGAUAAUGUCUUCGGACCAAAGAUUUAUCGCCUGUGGAUGGGCCCGCGUUGGAUUAGCUAGUUGGUAGGGUAAAAGCCUACCACGGCGACGAUCCAUAGCUGGUCUGAGAGGAUGAUCAGCCACACUGGGACUGAGACACGGCCCGGACUACAACGGGAGGCGGCAGUGGGGAAGAUUGGACAAUGGCGGAUAGCUGAAUACAGCCAUGGCGCGGGAGUGAUGAAGUGCUUAGGAUUGUAAAGCUCUUUUACCCGGGAUGAUAAUGACAGUACCGGGAGAAUAAGCUCCGGCUAACUCCGUG
RNAcentral lists this ribosomal RNA (433 nucleotides) under uncultured bacterium. Its description in RNAcentral is "partial 16S ribosomal RNA". It matches the Rfam family "Bacterial small subunit ribosomal RNA", at positions 29 to 507 of the family's 1533-position model. The record is from RNAcentral.